CCCGCUCUUCCCGUGCACAGUGCGGGGCGAGGCUUGGUGAGCGGUGGGUCUGCGCCUUCCCAAGAAGAAACUGGGGCAGCAUGAAUGUGCUGGAAGAUUAGAGGCUGCUGACACUGAAGGAAGGAGAAAUGAGGAGGAAGAUCCCUGUGGACAAGUCAUCUCCCUUCAUUUAAGCCAGGCCAGUAGUCCGGGAGACAUUCCGAAUGAUGCAUUAUCCUAGGCACCAGAAAGUAGCUAACAUUCUCAUGGACAGCAGGGAAAAAUGAAUACAUGAGACAGGGGAAGAUUCCAGCACCUGUGAACAUGUUUAUGCAGGUUUCCAGUCAGUACACGGAUAUCCCUCAAGCCUUUGAAUGCA
RNAcentral lists this long non-coding RNA (358 nucleotides) under Pongo abelii (Sumatran orangutan). RNAcentral's name for it is "lincRNA". Lineage: Eukaryota; Metazoa; Chordata; Mammalia; Primates; Hominidae. The record is from RNAcentral.